CUACGAGAAAGAAGACCGCCUUUCACUUCCUUCCUUUCCUUCCCCGUUCAGCAGACGGCUGGGGGUAUAGCUCAGCUGGCUGGCUAGAGCGGCGGCUUUGCAAGCCGUAGGUCUGGGGUUCGAAUCCCCAUACCUCCAAAAUCGAAAUAGUCUUUCGAGACUCAUAGAUUGAUUUGUUCUUUGACAUGAAGAGAGAAGGGAGAGGGUCUUGAGAUAUUACCCGGAAGGGUAAUGUUUUAGGGCUUGAAGAAGAAAAGAAGAAAAGAGCGUUUUGAGAGAAUGCGAGAUGCGAAGGCCGGAAGAUGCUUUUGCCUUGAAAGGGUGAAAGGAUAAUAU
Molecule: transfer RNA, 336 nt
Filed under: uncultured Spirochaetales bacterium
Lineage: Bacteria; Pseudomonadati; Spirochaetota; Spirochaetia; Spirochaetales
Description: 16S-23S ribosomal RNA intergenic spacer
Rfam family: tRNA (bases 61-138)
Source: RNAcentral